Sesamum indicum (sesame) is the source of this 2336-nucleotide long non-coding RNA. RefSeq lists it as uncharacterized. NCBI's taxonomy places the organism in Eukaryota, Viridiplantae, Streptophyta, Magnoliopsida, Lamiales, Pedaliaceae. The record is from RefSeq and is a predicted model, not a curated record.
AAAUUGAAAAGAGUGAUGAAUGACAAAAAUAGAAAAAAAUUGUCUGAAAGAGUUGAAACUGAAGUUCGAGAAAAUGAAUGGGCUAGUGAUGAUGGAAAUGAGGAUGAUUUGGUUAGCUUAGAAGGUAGUGAUGAAAAUCAAAAUGAAAAGCACUCUUUUUCUAAAGAAUCUAAUUCAAUGAAAAAUGUAAAUCUGGUAGUUGGGAUGAAAUUCCAAAAUGCUGCACAGUUUAGGGUGGCUUUGAGGGACUGGUGCAUACGGAAUGGGGUAGAUAUUGAAUUUUUAAGAAAUCAAUGGAGGGUUGUAAAUGGAGGAUCCAUGCCUCACCAAUACAAGGUGGACCUACAUUCCAAAUUAAAACAAUGAAGGGCAAGCAUACAUGUGGAAGAACAUAUGAAAAUAGGAUUGCCAAUGCAUCCUAUCUUGCAAAAAGAAUUGAAAAUGCAAUAAGAGAUAAUCCAACAAUUCUUGUUCAGCAACUGAAAAAUAGAAUUCGCUCAAAAUGCAAUGUGGAUGUGAGUAGAUUUAAGGUGAUGAGAGCCAAAAAAGAAGCUUUACAGAGAAUCAGGAGGGAUGAUGCAAAGCAAUACGAAUUGUUGUGGGAUUACUAUGAAACUGUCAGAACUCCAGGGUCUUAAGCUCAUACUUAAAAAACUGGAAAAUUUUGAUCCCCCAGUUUUUGAUAGAAUGUAUUUCAAUCUGCAUGCUUUAAAGAAGGGGUUUAUGGAAGGGUGUAGGCCAAUCAUAGGCCUUGAUGGUUGAUUCUUAAAAACUGUCUAUGGGGUCAAUUGCUUGUAGCUGUGAGAAGGGAUGAAAAUGAUAAUAUGUUCCCAAUUGUGAUGACUAUAACACAGGUAGAAAACAAGGAUACUUGGGGUUGGUUUGUGAGUGAGCUUUUGGAUGAAAUAUGGAGUUUGGGCACCACAAAAUACUCUUUUAUUUCUGAUAGAAAAAAAGGUCUUGUUGAGGCCUUAAAAGAUUUAGUUUCAGAUGCUGAACAUAGAUUUUGUUUGAGACACAUGUAUGAAAAUUUCAAAGUGAAAUUCAAAUCUGUUGAAUUGAAAGAAUACUUUUGGAAGGCAGUCUCAACUGCAAACAGAAGGGAAUUUGAGGGUUUAUGAAAAAAAUUAAAGAACUUGAUCCAGAGAUAAAAGUUGAUGUGGAAACAGCUUCUGAAUGGCUAAGAUAUAUUAAUCCAGAACAUUGGGCAAGAUCAAAUUUUCCAGUUCAUAGCAAAUGUGAUAUUUUGGUGAAUAACUUGUGUGAAAGCUUUAAUAAUUACAUACUUGAAGCAAGGGACAAACCAAUUAUAAGUAUGUUUGAGUGGAUUAGAACAAAAUUGAUGUCUAGGUUGCAAUUGAAAAGAUAGGGAAUGGAGAAGUAUGGAGGAUCAAUUUGUCCUAACAUCCUAAAGAAGAUAAACAAGCAACAACAUGCUGCAAGAAAUUGUUUCAUUAGGUGGUGUGGUGGGGGAGAGUAUGAAAUUGACCACUUCUUGACAAGUAUGUGGUUGACUUGGAGAAGAAAACAUGCAAUUGUGGCAUGUUUCAGUUAACAGGAUACCCAUGUUGUCAUGCUUGUUCAGCAAUUGUUUCAAAAAGGGCUAAGAAUAGAUGAUUAUGUGGAUGAUGUUUAUAAGAAGACAAUUUACCUCAAAGUGUAUAAUGACAUGAUACAUGCUAUCCCUGGGGUACAAGAUUACAUAAAAAUCAAUUUUCAGCCUUUUAAACCUCCUAAGAUUAAAAGGAAAAGGGGUAGACCUAAGAAACUUAGGAGAAAGGGUCCAAAUGAGCUGCAGUCAAACACAUCAACGCGAAAAGAAUUGACGCAUACCUGCAGCAAAUGCCUUCAAAUAAGCCACAACAAGGGCAGCUGCAAGAAUGAAAUACAUCCAAAGUAGAAGUUUUUCAAGGCAAAUAUUGCUGUUCCAGAAGAAAUCCCACAUGGAUCUCAAGCCCUCCCCCCUCUUUAAGCCAGGAACAACUAAGUAAAAAGUUUGCAGGCUACAUCAAAAGGAAAAAGAAAAAGCAGCAAUGUAGUACAACCACCUGCACCUGCACCUGCACCAGGCUUUGCAACCCAGCAGGUAGGCUAUUAAGGCCCUAGAAAUGCAUCAUUGUUGGGGAAUGAUACUCUAGCAGCUUGUUCAAUACCUGCAACUAGGAGAUACAACAAGAGGCCAACUAUUUCACAAGUUUUGGACAAGAUGAAAGAGAGACAAAAGAGAAGACAACAACAGUAGUUUAGACUGCAUCUUCAUCUUGUAAAUGGCCUGUUCCUUUUGUAAAUGUGAAAAAAAAUUAUCUAUACUAUGGCGCUCAGUUCCUUUUGUAAUG